AGAUCUUUGGAGCCAUUAAGGCAGAGCUGCAGGGCCUAGAGAUUGAGAUGCUGGGGACGCUUGAGGAAGCCGCUCCACUGUGAGAAUGUCGCCAGAGUGAAACCGAGACCUAGCCCACCUGGCACCUCUUCCUCCAACUCUUUACUGCCCUCUGUUGGAAAACCCGUGUAAUAUACAAAGGAGUCUCUGUGGCCACCACUGCUCCAGGCCCAUGGCGGGUACUGCCUGGCUACUGCUGAUGUUCACUCAAGGCCCAGGCCCUCUUCAGUCAGCUUGUGUUUUGCAGGUAAUUUGGAACUCUGGGACACCUCUCCAAACCUCUUCCACGUUUGCAAAAUCUUGCCUUUGCGGGGGUGGAGACUGGAUAAAGUGUACAAGGAAGCUCCCUGCAUUCUUUCUUACAUCUGCAUGUGAAUCUACAAUUACCUCAAAAAUUUUCCAAAGAAAACAUUCCAAGGACUCCGGGCUUGGAACUCUGAGAAGAGCGACUGAAUGAGGCCCUUCCAGCCCAGCUGAAUACAACUGAGUACAAAUAA
This 536-nucleotide non-coding RNA is filed under the name Pongo abelii (Sumatran orangutan). Lineage: Eukaryota; Metazoa; Chordata; Mammalia; Primates; Hominidae. The record is from RNAcentral.